RNAcentral lists this long non-coding RNA (1048 nucleotides) under Marmota monax (woodchuck). Lineage: Eukaryota; Metazoa; Chordata; Mammalia; Rodentia; Sciuridae. The record is from RNAcentral.
UAGCAUGAGGAACUGCAAGGCUGGCACUUCAGCGUCUGGGUUAAAAAUAUUUUAAAGCAGUAAAUGCAGUCAGUACAGAGAGAUCCCUGGGAGCCUUUCUAUUCAAAAAUGUGUGAGCUCAGGGCAGCGACUGCAAUGUAAUUUAGGGCAGUGUAUGCUUCAUAGCUUUGAGAAUAUUGCUUCCCGUUAAUGUUCCAUCGGAGGAUGGUAGGAUAGUAGUAAUUUUAGAAGGUGGUAUUCCUGUUUGUCUUACAUCGAAAACUUCAGAAUAAAUAAAAAGAAACCUCAAUCGAACAAGAAAUGUAACUGUGGAAAAGUACCAAUGAAUCUAAAUUUGAACUGAACAGAUUCAAAGCCAGCAUGAGUGUAGGAAUAUUUUUAAGGAGGAAGCUAUGACAAAAACAACUAUCCAGAGAGUGGACUGCACAGGUAUGUACCAUGUGGGCACAGAACUUGCAGAAACUUCCAAGAAAAUGCCUGGUCAGGAGUGCGGUGCUUUAACUGUGACUAGAUGAAAUGUUACUGAAUAUUUAAAUUGAAUUAUUUUAGAAGAUGGAAACACAAGAGAUUUAAUUUCAGUUGCUGGCAUUCAGAUGAUGUCUAGCUAUUCUGAGUAAGCCAAGUCAUUAGCUAGUCACAAUUCUGUGAAUUAGAUAGCGUUGGGAUCUUAGCUCACCCUCCGAAUGAUGAGCGGGUCUAGGACUUCUGAUGCUAAGAUGUUAUGCCUUAGCUUAUGGGAUUCUGUAGGAUUUUUCUCAGUCUGAAGAUCCUGUUGCUGAUAAGAAUGAGACCUAAUCAAGAUUCUUGGAUAUUAUAAAAGAGCCUGUCCAUUUAUGAGUUGUGUCUAGGAAACAAGUGAAGAACAUUUACACUUCCUUCAAAUUUUAGGGACUCAGCUACUAACUCUGAGCAGCUAUGAAAUUUGGCGAGUACCCAAUAGCUCACUAAACUCUCUAGGAGUUCUUAUGGUAUUAGCUAUUCUAUUUUUUCAUGUUAUAAAUUGCAGAAUAAUUUAUUGCUCUUCAUUAUCAACCUGUGAUGCUUACCC